UUUAAAUAGCUGCAGUAAUUUAACUGUACAAAGGUAGCAUAAUAAUUAGUCUUUUAAUUGAGGUCUGGAAUGAAUGGUUUAACAAGAUACAAACUUUAUUAUUUUAAUAAUAUUUAAUUUAAUUUUUUAGUAAAAAAACUAAAAUUGUUAAAUGGGACGAUAAGACCCUAUAGAUCUUAAAUUUUUUUUUUAAAAUUAUUAAUUGGUAAAUUUAUAAUAUUUUAAUAAGAAAAAUUUUAAUUGGGGUGAUUUUAAAAAUUUUUAAACUUUUAAUUAUUUUAACAUUGAUAUUAAUGGACUACUGAUCUUAAAAUUUAGAUUAAAAAAAUAAGAUACCUUAGGGAUAACAGCGUAAUAAAUUUGAAUAGUUCAUAUUGAUAAAUUUGUUUACGACCUCGAUGUUGAAUUAAUUUAAAUUUUUAAAGUAGCCAUUAAAACAUUUUGGUCUGUUCGACCUUUGAUAAAUUACA
Molecule: ribosomal RNA, 470 nt
Filed under: Arcofaciella verrucosa
Lineage: Eukaryota; Metazoa; Arthropoda; Insecta; Hemiptera; Delphacidae
Description: partial 16S ribosomal RNA
Source: RNAcentral